CUUGCACUUAGUAUUAUUUUUAGUGGGCAAAACGGGUGAGUAAUACAUGGGAAUCUACCUUGCAGUACGGAAUAACUAUUGGAAACAAGAGCUAAUACCGUAUAUUGCCGAGAAGGUGAAAGAUUUAUCGCUACAAGAUGAGCCCAUGCAAGAUUAGCUAGUUGGUGAGGUAAAUGCUUACCAAGGCUACGAUCUUUAGCUGGUCUGAGAGGAUGAUCAGCCACACUGGAACUGAGACACGGUCCAG
This 247-nucleotide ribosomal RNA is filed under the name uncultured bacterium. Its description in RNAcentral is "partial 16S ribosomal RNA". The stretch from base 31 to 247 matches the Rfam family "Bacterial small subunit ribosomal RNA", at positions 101 to 334 of the family's 1533-position model. The record is from RNAcentral.